RNAcentral lists this ribosomal RNA (1289 nucleotides) under uncultured organism. RNAcentral describes it as "bacterial SSU rRNA". It matches the Rfam family "Bacterial small subunit ribosomal RNA", at positions 113 to 1419 of the family's 1533-position model. The record is from RNAcentral.
ACGCGUAGGCAACCUGCCUUGCACAGAGGGAUAACACCGGGAAACUGGUGCUAAUACCACAUGAUAUCAUAACAAGGCAUCUUGAAAUGAUCAAAGGAGAAAUCCGGUGCAAGAUGGGCCUGCGUCCGAUUAGUUAGUUGGUGAGGUAACGGCUCACCAAGGCGACGAUCGGUAGCCGAACUGAGAGGUUGAUCGGCCACAUUGGGACUGAGACACGGCCCAGACCCCUACGGGAGGCAGCAGUGGGGAAUAUUGCGCAAUGGGGGGAACCCUGACGCAGCAACGCCGCGUGAAGGAAGAAGGCCUUCGGGUUGUAAACUUUUUUGAUUGGGGAAGAAAAAAAUGACGGUACCCAAGGAACAAGCCACGGCUAACUACGUGCCAGCAGCCGCGGUAAUACGUAGGUGGCGAGCGUUGUCCGGAAUUACUGGGUGUAAAGGGCGUGUAGGCGGGAUUGUAAGUCAGAUGUGAAAUUCCAGGGCUUAACUCUGGAGGUGCAUCUGAAACUAUAAUUCUUGAGUGCUGGAGAGGAAAGCGGAAUUCCUAGUGUAGCGGUGAAAUGCGUAGAUAUUAGGAAGAACACCAGUGGCGAAGGCGGCUUUCUGGACAGUAACUGACGCUGAGGCGCGAAAGCGUGGGGAGCAAACAGGAUUAGAUACCCUGGUAGUCCACGCUGUAAACGAUGGAUACUAGGUGUAGGAGGUAUCGACCCCUUCUGUGCCGGAGUUAACACAAUAAGUAUCCCACCUGGGGAGUACGGCCGCAAGGCUGAAACUCAAAGGAAUUGACGGGGGCCCGCACAAGCAGUGGAGUAUGUGGUUUAAUUCGAAGCAACGCGAAGAACCUUACCAGGGCUUGACAUCCCUCGGAUAACAUAGAGAUAUGUUAGUCCUUCGGGACGAGGAGACAGGUGGUGCAUGGUUGUCGUCAGCUCGUGUCGUGAGAUGUUGGGUUAAGUCCCGCAACGAGCGCAACCCCUAUUGUUAGUUGCCAUCAUUAAGUUGGGCACUCUAACGAGACUGCCGGUGACAAAUCGGAGGAAGGUGGGGACGACGUCAAAUCAUCAUGCCCCUUAUGUCCUGGGCUACACACGUACUACAAUGGUCACUACAAAGGGAAGCAAUACCGCAAGGAGGAGCAAAUCCCCAAAGGUGACCUCAGUUCGGAUUGUGGGCUGAAACCCGCCCACAUGAAGUCGGAAUUGCUAGUAAUGGCAGGUCAGCAUACUGUCGUGAAUACGUUCCCGGGCCUUGUACACACCGCCCGUCACACCAUGAGAGUUUGCAACA